This is a long non-coding RNA of Scylla paramamosain (green mud crab), 891 nucleotides long. RefSeq lists it as uncharacterized. The transcript is spliced from 6 exons. Lineage: Eukaryota; Metazoa; Arthropoda; Malacostraca; Decapoda; Portunidae. The record is from RefSeq and is a predicted model, not a curated record.
CCACAACAAACAGACGCCAUAUUGGUUGUUUACCCCGCGAUCCUACACGAGACCAAGGGAGAGAGACGAGUUAAAGGAAGAUCUCAAUUUACUACUGAACUACAAAGAGAGCGAGGAAUGUGACAAAAAAAGCAGCUCUGCUGAAGAACCAGGACAGGGCAGGGAAGGUGAAUGGCCCAUCUAUAUUCCCUGACCUCUGCACUUCACACCGCAAGAAUUUGAUGCACAUGUUGAAAAACCAUCAAAAGCUGCAAGACAUCAAAAGGAGAUGCAUCAAGGCAAAGGAAGAGCUGUCGGAGAAUUUGCACGUUAGAUUGAAGUGGAUAAUGUAUAUAGAGAGGCGUCUGUAUGAGGCGGACACACGCGUCUCCAUUCACCAAGAGAGUGUGCGGCGCCUGGCUGGACUCCUGCAGGUGGUGGAGCAGAUUCACCGCGCCCCGAGGGUCUAUGCCGCAGCCGUCACGGAGGUGGCUCGCCGGCACGCCUUCUCCAGGGCCUUCCUGCAGGUGAACUAAGGGUCAGAGGAGGGUUACCAAAGAAAACAUAGAUAAACUGAGAAAACUGCUGCCGGAACUUUCUCACUGUCUAGCCAUUGGUGAGGUUCUGGCGGUUCCUCCUCUGCUUCGCCAUUUCACAGCCGCCCUCAAUACACAGGAGGAGAGGAGGAGGAGGAGGAGGAGGAGGAGGAGGAGGAGGAUGAAGAAGAACGAGGAGCAGGAAGACAAGGAGCAGGAGGAGGAUGAUGAGGAGAAAGAGGAGGAGGAGGAAAAGGAAGGCUCUAGGAGAUUACAAGAAAAGACAAGCACACAAGAUUAUGAGGUGUGUGUGUGUGUGUGUGUGUGUGUGUGUGUGUGUGUGUGUGUGUGUGUGUGUGUGUGUGUGUGUGUGUGU